This is a long non-coding RNA of Peromyscus eremicus (cactus mouse), 379 nucleotides long. RefSeq lists it as uncharacterized. The transcript has 3 exons. Lineage: Eukaryota; Metazoa; Chordata; Mammalia; Rodentia; Cricetidae. The record is from RefSeq and is a predicted model, not a curated record.
UUGGGUUUGGCUCCUUCCCUGUAACACCCCCUCCUCAACUCAGGACUAAACUAUUGAUUCCAUCUUGGGCCCAGCUAAACGGGGUCCAGUCCCCUCCCUUCCUAACUGGAUGGAUUCGGGUUCAUGUGCUGAAAGCUUGAGACUCUGUGGACUGAUUUGAAUUGGUGGAAUCUUUCAGAGAUGGGGCCAGGGAAGAGCGACGAGGUCCCUGGGCUAAUCCCUGUUGAGAGAGAUUGAUGUCAUUCUCUUGGGACUCAGGUACUGGAUUCUGUUCUGGGAGCUGAAGACAUAACAGUGGAGAAGACGGAUAGCAAUGCCUGUUCCUCGUGGAGCUGAUUCUAGUAAGGGGAAGAGAGGAAACAAUCGGCUCAAGAAACAA